AAUAUCAAGCCCAACCAGUU
This 20-nucleotide small nuclear RNA is filed under the name Arabidopsis thaliana (thale cress). Its description in RNAcentral is "snRNA_16417". The record is from RNAcentral. Lineage: Eukaryota; Viridiplantae; Streptophyta; Magnoliopsida; Brassicales; Brassicaceae.